RNAcentral lists this ribosomal RNA (572 nucleotides) under uncultured bacterium. RNAcentral's name for it is "bacterial SSU rRNA". It matches the Rfam family "Bacterial small subunit ribosomal RNA", at positions 338 to 916 of the family's 1533-position model. The record is from RNAcentral.
CCUACGGGAGGCAGCAGUGAGGAAUUUUGCGCAAUGGGCGAAAGCCUGACGCAGCGACGCCGCGUGGAGGAUGAAGGCCUUCGGGUCGUAAACUCCUGUCAGAGGUGAAGAAUCCCUGAGCAAUCAGGGUUGACGGUAACCUCAGAGGAAGCCCCGGCCAACUACGUGCCAGCAGCCGCGGUAAUACGUAGAGGGCAAGCGUUACUCGGAUUCAUUGGGCGUAAAGCGAAUGUAGGCGGUUCAGUAAGUCAGGGGUGAAAUCCCUCAGCUUAACUGAGGAAUUGCCUUUGAUACUGCCGAACUUGAGGACAGGAGAGGAAAGUGGAAUUCCCGGUGUAGCGGUGGAAUGCGUAGAUAUCGGGAGGAACACCAGAGGCGAAGGCGGCUUUCUGGACUGAUCCUGACGCUGAGAUUCGAAAGCCAGGGGAGCAAACAGGAUUAGAUACCCUGGUAGUCCUGGCUGUAAACGAUGGAUACUAGAUCUUGCAAUUUACUGCUUGGUCGAAGCUAACGCGUUAAGUAUCCCGCCUGGGGAGUACGGUCGCAAGGCUGAAACUUAAAGGAAUUGACGG